CGAACCUGGGAAGCGAGGCCGAGAGGGAGCCCCUCCUGGGCACUGGCUCGCCCGGAAGCAGAGAAUGGGGCAUGAUAGAAACCCAAGAGCAUUACAAGAGUAGAUGGAAGUCUGUGAGGAUUCUCUACCUUACUAUGUUCCUCAGCAGUGUGGGUUUUUCUAUUGUGAUAAUGUCCAUCUGGCCAUAUCUUCAAAAGAUUGAUCAGACAGCUGAUGCAAGUUUUUUGGGCUGGGUUAUUGCUUCAUAUAGUCUUGGCCAAAUGGUAGCUUCACCUCUAUUUGGCUUAUGGUCUAAUUAUAGGCCAAGAAAAGAACCUCUUAUCGUCUCCAUCUUUAUUUCGGUGGCAGCCAAUUGCUUGUACGCAUAUGUCCAUGUG
This 377-nucleotide long non-coding RNA is filed under the name Rattus norvegicus (Norway rat). RNAcentral describes it as "long non-coding RNA NONRATT016357". The record is from RNAcentral. Lineage: Eukaryota; Metazoa; Chordata; Mammalia; Rodentia; Muridae.